UUCAUAUGGAAUGGUGAAGUGUC
This 23-nucleotide non-coding RNA is filed under the name Cricetulus griseus (Chinese hamster). Lineage: Eukaryota; Metazoa; Chordata; Mammalia; Rodentia; Cricetidae. The record is from RNAcentral.